Molecule: ribosomal RNA, 430 nt
Filed under: Sesamia nonagrioides (Mediterranean corn borer)
Lineage: Eukaryota; Metazoa; Arthropoda; Insecta; Lepidoptera; Noctuidae
Description: partial 16S ribosomal RNA
Source: RNAcentral
UUAAAGGGCUGCAGUAUAUUGACUGUACAAAGGUAGCAUAAUCAUUAGUCAUUUAAUUGAUGACUUGUAUGAAGGAUUGGAUGAAAUAUAAACUGUCUCUUAAUUAUAUUUAGAAUUUAAUUUUUUAAUUAAAAAGUUAAAAUAAAUUAGAAAGACGAGAAGACCCUAUAGAGUUUUAUAAGUAAAAUUAAUUGAGAUUAUUUGUAAAGGUUAAAAUUAAGAUUAAUUUAUUUAUUUUGUUGGGGUGACAGAAAAAUAUAAAAAACUUUUUAUAUGUUUAAAACAUUAAUAAGUGGUUAAAUGAUCCAAUAUUAUUGAUUAUAAGAAAAAAUUACCUUAGGGAUAACAGCGUAAUUUUUUUUUUUAGUUCACAUAAAAAAAAAAGUUUGCGACCUCGAUGUUGGAUUAAGAUAAAAUUUAAAUGCAGAAG